RNAcentral lists this long non-coding RNA (304 nucleotides) under Homo sapiens (human). RNAcentral's name for it is "HSALNT0381927". Lineage: Eukaryota; Metazoa; Chordata; Mammalia; Primates; Hominidae. The record is from RNAcentral.
CCUUCCCUGUGCACUGGCGGGCAUGAGGGAAGGAUGGGAGGCAGUGUGUGUGUGUGUGUGUGUGUGUGUGUGUGUGGAGGGGGUGAUACAGGGAGGGGAGGCUCCCUACCCCUACCCCUGCUGCCCAGCUGCAGCCAGGCCGGUGCGUCCAUGUCUAGGGGCAGGCUGCAGCAAGAAGACGUGGGAAUGCACAGCCCCAGGGAUUGUGUCAUCCACAUGCUUCCCAUGAGGGUUGGCAGCUGAGAGCAAGGGGCUGCAGCUGGUGGGGGAAUGUGUGAGUUGCGGUCAAUGUGAAUGCACGUGG